CUUUCCCUUGGAUGCAUGCCUGGGAGUGCCAUUCUGGAAUGCUAACUCUGUGUUUAACUUUUAGAGGAACUGCCAGGCUAUUGGUGCUGUCUUCAGUCUUCCAGAGCCCUAAGAAAAGGUAAAACUCAACACUGUGGUGACGAAUCUUGGCUGUCAACUUGACCACAUCUGGAAUCAACUAAAACCCGAGCAGCUGGAUGCACCUAGAUAUAUUUUGGGCUUUCUAGAAGUUUCUACAAACUCAGAGACACUGUUGUGGAUUAACAAAGUCCUCUGUUAAAGCCCAAGCCCCUGGGAUCUCAGAAGGUAACUGUAUUUGGAGAUAUUCUUUGAAGUUAAAAUGAAGUUGUUACAGUGAGG
This 360-nucleotide long non-coding RNA is filed under the name Cricetulus griseus (Chinese hamster). RNAcentral describes it as "lncRNA (ENSCGRG00015031281.1)". The record is from RNAcentral. Lineage: Eukaryota; Metazoa; Chordata; Mammalia; Rodentia; Cricetidae.